CACGUAGGGGGCAAGCGUUGUCCGGAUUUAUUGGGCGUAAAGAGCUCGUAGGCGGUUCGGUAAGUCAGGUGUGAAAACUCAGGGCUCAACCCUGAGACUGCACCUGAUACUGCUGUGACUAGAGUCCGGUAGAGGAGUGUGGAAUUCCUGGUGUAGCGGUGAAAUGCGCAGAUAUCAGGAGGAACACCAGCGGCGAAGGCGGCACUCUGGGCCGGAACUGACGCUGAGGAGCGAAAGCGUGGGUAGCAAACAGG
RNAcentral lists this unclassified non-coding RNA (254 nucleotides) under uncultured Acidimicrobiia bacterium. RNAcentral describes it as "contains 16S-23S intergenic spacer region". It matches the Rfam family "Bacterial small subunit ribosomal RNA", at positions 524 to 776 of the family's 1533-position model. Lineage: Bacteria; Bacillati; Actinomycetota; Acidimicrobiia. The record is from RNAcentral.